CCUACGGGAGGCAGCAGUGGGGAAUUUUGGACAAUGGGCGAAAGCCUGAUCCAGCCAUUCCGCGUGCAGGAUGAAGGCCCUCGGGUUGUAAACUGCUUUUGUACAGAACGAAAAGGUUUCUAUUAAUACUAGGAGCUCAUGACGGUACUGUAAGAAUAAGCACCGGCUAACUACGUGCCAGCAGCCGCGGUAAUACGUAGGGUGCAAGCGUUAAUCGGAAUUACUGGGCGUAAAGCGUGCGCAGGCGGUUAUAUAAGUCAGAUGUGAAAUCCCCGGGCUCAACCUGGGAACUGCAUUUGAGACUGUAUAGCUAGAGUACGGUAGAGGGGGAUGGAAUUCCGCGUGUAGCAGUGAAAUGCGUAGAUAUGCGGAGGAACACCGAUGGCGAAGGCAAUCCCCUGGACCUGUACUGACGCUCAUGCACGAAAGCGUGGGGAGCAAACAGGAUUAGAUACCCUGGUAGUCCACGCCCUAAACGAUGUCACUGGUUGUUGGUCUUACUGACUCAGUAACGAGCUAACGCGNGAGUAGACGCGNGGAGACGCGCGAGUAGACGACGAGAGUAGAGCGNGAGAGNGCGAGACGACGACGAGGGAGGAGG
This 601-nucleotide ribosomal RNA is filed under the name uncultured bacterium. RNAcentral describes it as "bacterial SSU rRNA". The stretch from base 1 to 536 matches the Rfam family "Bacterial small subunit ribosomal RNA", at positions 338 to 873 of the family's 1533-position model. The record is from RNAcentral.